UAGCCGGCCUGAGAGGGUGACCGGCCACACUGGGACUGAGACACGGCCCAGACUCCUACGGGAGGCAGCAGUGGGGAAUAUUGCACAAUGGGCGCAAGCCUGAUGCAGCAACGCCGCGUGAGGGACGAAGGCCUUCGGGUUGUAAACCUCUUUUAGCAGGGAAGAAGCGAAAGUGACGGUACCUGCAGAAAAAGCGCCGGCUAACUACGUGCCAGCAGCCGCGGUAAUACGUAGGGCGCAAGCGUUGUCCGGAAUUAUUGGGCGUAAAGAGCUCGUAGGCGGUUUGUCGCGUCUGCUGUGAAAAUCCGAGGCUCAACCUCGGACCUGCAGUGGGUACGGGCAAACUAGAGUGCGGUAGGGGAGACUGGAAUUCCUA
RNAcentral lists this ribosomal RNA (376 nucleotides) under uncultured bacterium. Its description in RNAcentral is "bacterial SSU rRNA". It matches the Rfam family "Bacterial small subunit ribosomal RNA", at positions 284 to 672 of the family's 1533-position model. The record is from RNAcentral.